CUGCGAAUGGCUCAUUAAAUCAGUUAUAGUUUAUUUGAUGGUCUCUCGCCACAUGGAUAACCGUGGUAAUUCUAGAGCUAAUACAUGCGUCGAGUCCCGACUGUCGCGGAAGGGAUGUAUUUAUUAGAUUCAAAACCAAUGCGGGGCCUCGGUCCCGGUCUUUGGUGAUUCAUAGUAACUGUUCGGAGCGCAGGGCCUCGCGCCGGCGCCGGAUCAUUCAAGUUUCUGCCCUAUCAACUGUCGAUGGUAAGGUAUCGGCUUACCAUGGUUGCAACGGGUGACGGAGAAUUAGGGUUCGAUUCCGGAGAGGGAGCCUGAGAAACGGCUACCACAUCCAAGGAAGGCAGCAGGCGCGCAAAUUACCCAAUCCCGACACGGGGAGGUAGUGACAAUAAAUAACAAUACAGGGCCUUCGUAGGUCUUGUAAUUGGAAUGAGAACAAUCUAAAUCCCUUAACGAGGAACAAUUGGAGGGCAAGUCUGGUGCCAGCAGCCGCGGUAAUUCCAGCUCCAAUAGCGUAUAUUAAAGUUGUUGCAGUUAAAAAGCUCGUAGUUGGAUUUCGGCGGCGCGCUACCGGUCCGCCUGGCGGCGUGUCACUGGUAGCGCGCGGCUUUCUCUCGAGGGCCGCGCGUGCUCUUGACUGAGCGUGCGCGGGACUCGGGACGUUUACUUUGAAAAAAUUAGAGUGUUCAAAGCAGGCGCGUCGGCUUGGAUACAUUAGCAUGGAAUAAUGGAAUAGGACGUCGGUUCUAUUUUGUUGGUUUCUGGGACCGAGGUAAUGAUUAAUAGGGACAGUUGGGGGCAUUCGUAUUCAAUUGUCAGAGGUGAAAUUCUUGGAUUUAUGGAAGACGAACGCAUGCGAAAGCAUUUGCCAAGGAUGUUUUCGUUAAUCAAGAACGAAAGUUGGAGGUUCGAAGACGAUUAGAUACCGUCGUAGUUCCAACCAUAAACUAUGCCGACUAGGGAUCGGAGGACGUUAUUGAUACGACUCCUUCGGCACCUUUCGAGAAAUCAAAGUUUUUGGGUUCCGGGGGGAGUAUGGUCGCAAGACUGAAACUUAAAGGAAUUGACGGAAGGGCACCACCAGGAGUGGAGCCUGCGGCUUAAUUUGACUCAACACGGGAAAACUCACCAGGUCCAGACAUAGAA
Molecule: ribosomal RNA, 1149 nt
Filed under: Corticium candelabrum
Lineage: Eukaryota; Metazoa; Porifera; Homoscleromorpha; Homosclerophorida; Plakinidae
Description: SSU rRNA
Rfam family: Eukaryotic small subunit ribosomal RNA
Source: RNAcentral